AUAAUGAUAUAAAUAAUAAAAUAUGAGAAAGAGAGUUUCUCUCUCUUCCCUCUCUCCCUUCAGCUUGAAUUAGUAUUUUCUCUCUCUAAAAUUGGACUUUCUCUCUCUACUUUCUCUCUCUAAAAUUCUUUCUCUAGAUUAUUUCUCACUCUUAAGAUUUUUAGAAUUUUGAGAAGAAUGAUGAUGAAUUUAAAUGAUCCUCGUGAUGGAUUUUUGAUCCGUGAUCGUCGGACGGUACACUGACAUCCACUUUGAUC
Molecule: long non-coding RNA, 257 nt
Filed under: Elaeis guineensis (African oil palm)
Lineage: Eukaryota; Viridiplantae; Streptophyta; Magnoliopsida; Arecales; Arecaceae
Description: long non-coding RNA (EGUI_LNC013917)
Source: RNAcentral